AUUUUCUGACAUUUGAAAAGAGCUGAAGAUACGCCCCUUGGAUGCCUGCAGAGCAGCUCUGGGGCUUCAGCUGAUGACUCAGGGUAGCCACUGAAUAUGGUGCUCAUAGAGGGUGCCACCUGGACUCCACUCUCCUUUCUCUCUGGGAUCAUAGCUUCCAAGGUGUUCUGUGGCCUGUCGGCCAAUUCCAGCAGCUCAGCAUGCAGAAGACCGAGGAGCCAUUGGAAUUCAACACAACAUGAAAUAAUCGACAAAUUCGGGAAAUGGUAAUCUGACCAUCCCCAGUUACAAAUGAUGUUUCAUGCUACCUUCUAUUCCUGCCCUCAUAAAUCAAGUUCUAAAUCUUCAGGAAAAAAUGCACUCAGGAUCGCCAGAGAAAUGUCCUUCCAACCGUGCAUGGAAAGGUAGGAUUUUUUUGCAGCGGGUAAGGGGCUGGCUAGAGUUAAGUGUGUGCUGAGCUUUUGUGUUUGAAAGUGAGCCUGUGCGCUUCUAACGGACUGAAAGGUUUCCUUGCCUUCUCCGAUCUUACAGCAAGGACAGCAAAGCCUUCCAGGCCUGCCUGUGACAUGCUCUGCACAUUCUAAAGAUGCCUGUGCAAUGGAAAACACCACUGUCUGCUCCAGCACAGCUGCCAUCCUUCCAUCUUAUCGACCUUAAUGCAACAACUCCUCAUGGGCAGAGAUCUUAAAAUGUGUUCUUGCCAGAAGAGAGACUCAAAGAUGGGACAAACGGAUCCUUUAAAUGCC
Mandrillus leucophaeus (drill) is the source of this 746-nucleotide long non-coding RNA. RefSeq lists it as uncharacterized. Lineage: Eukaryota; Metazoa; Chordata; Mammalia; Primates; Cercopithecidae. The transcript has 3 exons. The record is from RefSeq and is a predicted model, not a curated record.